GGGAKGWCGWAAAAUCAUMAUSCCCYUUAUGMCSUGGGCUACACACGUGCUACAAUGGAUGGUACAACGAGCAGCAAGACCGCGAGGUCAAGCGAAUCUCUUAAAGCCAUUCUCAGUUCGGAUUGCAGGCUGCAACUCGCCUGCAUGAAGCCGGAAUCGCUAGUAAUCGCGGAUCAGCACGCCGCGGUGAAUACGUUCCCGGGUCUUGUACACACCGCCCGUCACACCACGAGAGUUUGUAACACCCGAAGUCGGUGAGGUAACCUUUUUGGAGCCAGCCGCCUAAGGUGGGACAGAUGAUUGGGGUGAAGUCGUAACAAGGUAACC
Molecule: ribosomal RNA, 327 nt
Filed under: uncultured Trichococcus sp.
Lineage: Bacteria; Bacillati; Bacillota; Bacilli; Lactobacillales; Carnobacteriaceae
Description: partial 16S rRNA
Rfam family: Bacterial small subunit ribosomal RNA
Source: RNAcentral